GCGCUCGUAGCUCAGCUGGAUAGAGUACCUGGCUACGAACCAGGCGGUCAGAGGUUCGAAUCCUCUCGGACGCG
RNAcentral lists this transfer RNA (74 nucleotides) under Vibrio cholerae. RNAcentral's name for it is "tRNA-Arg-ACG". It matches the Rfam family "tRNA". Rfam says of the family: Transfer RNA (tRNA) molecules are approximately 80 nucleotides in length. Their secondary structure includes four short double-helical elements and three loops (D, anti-codon, and T loops). The record is from RNAcentral. Lineage: Bacteria; Pseudomonadati; Pseudomonadota; Gammaproteobacteria; Vibrionales; Vibrionaceae.